CGCAGACGGCUCUGCGUUGACCAAGUGUGAUGCCAAAGGAAGAGCUAGGCUUCAGAACAGGCUGCUGGACUGGACGCUCCACCACCAGGUGCCGCUGUCAUUCCUGACCUCCCCAGGUUGCGGCGUUGGACGUGCCCUGAUCCUUGGAAAGGGGUGGCAGUGGAGUGUUGUGACACUCCUGCGCGCUGCAAGGGCUCUACUGAGGCUCUUGGUGGACACAGCAGGAACCCGCACGCACAGAUGGAUGCCAAGAUCCGCUCCUUCCUCUGUCUGGCAAGUUCUGCUGACCCCUGAGGUCGUUCCCA
Gallus gallus (chicken) is the source of this 305-nucleotide long non-coding RNA. RefSeq lists it as uncharacterized. NCBI's taxonomy places the organism in Eukaryota, Metazoa, Chordata, Aves, Galliformes, Phasianidae. The record is from RefSeq and is a predicted model, not a curated record. The transcript is spliced from 3 exons.